AGUUUUGAUAAAAACAUACUGUUUAGGGAGGGACAACUUCCUUUCCCCUCUUCUGAUUGGUGCAUUCUCAUUCUGUUGCAUACUGGGAAAUGUAGUUUAGGGCAGAGCCUUUUGAAUUCUUUGGCGUAGGACUGCUCCCCUUCCCAAACCACAUUUCCCAAGUUCUGUGUUGUUCCCAAAAUGCAAGGCCUCCUGUCUUCACACCAAAAAGCAAGCCACCAUGAAGUCUUCAAGCAGAGAAGCCAUUAAUUUACAGAGAGAGGAAAGACAAAGGAGGCAGCACUCUGAUGAAAUUACCAAUCAAACAGGUACCAAAAUGGGUGUUGUCACAAUUCCAAUCUACUGCUGGCACUCAACCUCGCGGCACCUGCUGAUGCUGUUUUGUUGACAGGUACAAAUCACCAGCCAUCAAGGAGAGAAGCAGAGAACUGACAACAAUCCACUUUCAGAUAUCUGAAGCAGGCAAAGACCUUUUUUGUUUAAUUUUUUGUGUGUCAGGAGCUACUUGAGAAACUACAAGUCACUUCUGGUGUGAGAAAAUUGGCUGUCUGCAAGGACAUUGCUCAGAGGACGCUCAGAUGUUUUGAUGUUUUUACCAUUCUUGUUGGAGGCUUCUCUCAUGUCUCCACAUGGGGAGCUGGAGCUGACAGAGGAAGCUCAUCCGCACUUUCCCUGGAUUUGAACCAGCAACCUUCAGGUCAGCAACCCAACCUUCAAGUCAGCAGUCCUGCCAACACAACCUUCAAAUGAACCUUCAGAUUACAGCUCAUUGUGAAGAAGAACCACAAAGUAAGAAAAUCUUGUAUGAAAGGCAACCCCAAUCCUAUAAAAUGUGUGCUAAUGGGAAAGGGAACUGGAGAAACUGCGGAUGGAGCAAAGGAAGGAGAAAACAUUUGCUUCUCUUUCGGGCAACAAAAAAAGAGCUGACUGCAUAUAUGACAUUCUCCUAAUACUGUUAUUGACUCAAAGGAUUGAAAAACAGUGACACUUACUUUUACAUGGAAUGAGAAGACAAAGUUGAAAUUGACUUCAAAAGUAAAAUAAACAUACUCUUUUAAAAGAAAGAAAACUACUAAAGUUACGCGAGGAGAGCUACACCAGCAAAAUGUUAAAACUGUUAAGCUUUCAAGCAUCAAUUUUCACUAUUUGUCAUGCUAAGUAACUGUUGGACAGAACCGGGCCCAGGACGGAGCCCUGCGGCACUCCACUUGUCACUUCUUUCCAUGAUGAAGACGAUGCAUUGGUGAGCACCCUUUGUCAUUGCAUGUCUUUUUUUUCCCUCUCAUGACAAAAUAUAUUUUCAAAUAAAACUGGGAGAAGUCUUCUCCCAGCUUUAUUUGAAAAUAUAUUUUGUCAUGAGGAAAAAAAGACAUGGGAUGGGUAUUGUGCUCUCUUUUAAAAGAAAAACAUGGUGAAGACUACCAGAAGUACUAAUUCAUUUUUUCAGGUAUGUAUUGGGUAAAAACCCAAGCUGGGAUCCCAAUAUUGAAAAAAAAAUGGACUGAGGCUUCCUAUGUUCUACUUUUUAUUGUGUGCCUCAGGCCCCUACCCUCCUCUCCUUCCGGAAGUGCCUAAAAACCUGGCUCUUCCAAAAGGCCUUUGAUGCUUAAUUGUUGAGGGUUUGAUUUAUCUGCCCAUUCUAAAAUAGCUCCAUUGUUGAUGCGUUGCCAUUAUUACAUUGCACUUUAUUAUCCAUUUUAGUUGUGAAACUACCUCUCCCCAUUUCGGAAUAUUCUGCACUUUGGCCUAGAUCUAUGAAUUAGUCUCCUGUUUUUAACAUUUUAUGCUGCAUGUUGAUUUUAAUGACUGUUUUAUUGAUGCUGAUGUUUUUAUUGUUGGGAUAAUUGUGCUAUUGUUUUGUUAUUGUUAUUAUAUUGUUGUAUCGGACAAGGCCCCAUGUAAGCCGCCCCGAGUCCCUUCGGGGAGAUGGGGCGGGGUAUAAAUAUAAAAUUAUUAUUAUUAUUAUUAUUAUUAUUAUUAUUAUUAUUAUUAUUAUUAUUAUUGACCUAUGGUGAUUCUAAGCUGUUUUUAUCACAGGGGUUUUGGGCAAUAUUUGAGCAAGUCAUAUCAAAUCCCCUGUGGCCUGGUAGCUAACACGGUACUAAUGUCUGUCCAUUCUAAGGAUUCAACAAACUGAAAGCUAUACAUCUCAGAGUCAUCUUUUUUCCUUCCCAGCUCAGUUUUGAGAAUGUGGGUUUUAUUACACUACUACAUUAAAUAUCAUUGUUUCUGUAUGCAUUUUUCCAUAAUCUAUUUGUGCAUUGAAUUUAUUUGUAUACUACUUUCCCUCCAAUAUGAGAAAAAGCUGAACUGAAAUACAAUACAGUUAAAAGAAUAGAUAACAACAAAUAUAAUUAACAAUCACAUGAAAACCAUUUAAUUAUUUUUAAAGAUCACAAAAUAUCAUGGUAAUGAUAAAAAUACAAUAAACUUGAAUUGAAAGCCCAGACAUACACUUAACAUUCAGAUUUUAGGAAGCAGAAAUAUCUUUAUCUGCCACGAGAAAUAGAGCAGACAGAGGGCCCACUAGGUUUUCACAGAAAUACACAACAUAUGUCUAGAAAUUUUAAUCCAAAAAUUAAACCCAGUAAACUUGGCUCAACUUCUCUUGAGUCAACGUAAAAAGUGUACCUUCAAAAAAAGAGGGACCAUCCUCUUUUCUGAGGCUGAAUCUAUAUUGCCAUAUCAUCCAGUCUCAGAAUGUAGAUUAACUGCAUUGAACUGAGUUUGCACUGCCAUAUCAGACAGUUCAAUAUUAUUAAUCUGUAUUCUAAAACUGGAUUAUCCAGCCUGAGUAUAUUGAUGAAUAGUGAGGGCUUUGUCCAUCCCCUGAAAACUUAAAAGAAGAACCAACUCCCUCUACAUUCUCCACCAUGAUGUUGCUUCUGGACUUUUUGAAUACAUUGCAGGAAAUAAUGUAGCAGCCAGGGAUUUCUGGCCCCCGAAAUCAGCAUUAACGAUUUCCCCUUUUUUUGCAGAGUUACCACUGGCAUAUCCAUGAUUCAUAUCAAAAUUUGUAAUUUUGACAUCAAAUGCUGUCCUUAAAGUCAAUUUAUAUAUAAGCAUAUAUGGUAAUUCCAUAGUCUCGGAGCAGCCACUAAAAGGGCUUCUCACCAAAAGUGUCCAUGAUGAUGGGUGUUUAAGAUCUAAAAACUCAAGCAGAGUUAUUAUCUAAGCAUAUUUUUAAGCAUAUAAUUUAACUGGAAGUGUGUCUUAGGAAAUACAUUGCAAGCUAUUGUGCAAAUUUCUGAGAGAAAGCCUUUGAAGGUGUGCCGUCACACCCAAGCACCCUUUGGUUGAAAUUAAGUUGUGCUCCUUUCUUUGCUGGGUGGACUGUGGGGGCCUUACCUUGAAGGCUCAGGAGUCCCAGCAACUAAGGCCACUUCAAAUUGAACAUCAAACAAGAUUUUUAUUUUCUCAAAGUUCUUGACAGGCUUGGCACAAUUUGCUGAGGUUACAAAUACAAACAGUCAACUUAUAAAAUCAUGCAGAUGUUUCCUUUUUACCUUUCCUUUUGGCUGCUGGGUUAACUUCUUCCAAAGGUGGAUAGUUCCUGGGAUGCUCUUUACCCCAACCCUGAGUUGCUAUAUCAGAAAGAGCAGGUCUUUCCCUGUCUAAACUCAAAACUAGCUUGGAGACAAAGUACUUAGAGCUUCUUCCAAUGGCAGAGAAAUCCUAGAAUAUUCUCUGCCCUAGUGCUGAGUUGCUAUUUUAGAAAGAGCAGGUCUUUCCCUAUCUAAACUCAGAACAAGUUUUAAAGGCAAGAGGUUAGUACUUAUGAUGGCUUGUCUGAGCUGGCCUGGCUUGACCACGCAAGCACAUCUGAGUUCCUUUCUCUAUUUUGUAGAAGGCAAAAAAGGGCUUUUCAAAAUGGAGAUUUUAUCCCCAGGAAAAAGGGGCGGCCCUCAAGAUCAAAAAGAUACUUUUGCAAGCCGACAACAGGAAAGACUUUGCAGGCUGGCUACAAACCUCUGUUGAUGGUUAACUAUCAGGGUGUUGCUGAGUCUGUAGCAACCCUGAAAGAAACGCAAAAAGGGUGCUAUUUCCUACAAUUAUGAGACAAUGCAAGUCAAACUCCUGGGAGACGGAACAGAAGGAUUGAAAUGGAUAUUUCAGCGAGAAUAUCCAAUUCACAGAAAUUCUUAUUUUUGGAAAACAUACUGAAGUCCAUGUUGUACUGAAGAGAUUCUUAGAAAGAAGAUUCUCUCUUCUCUCUCUGUCUCUCUCAUUGUUCCACACACACACAUGCAUAUAUAUACACAUGCAAAACACACACACACACACACACACAAAACUUGUUUGGAGAUUAACAAGAUGCAGAUAGGUCAAUGUGACAAGAGUGUUGUGUUGCUGUUCACAGAUGAACUUUCCACAACCUUUCAAACACAAUGAAAUGCCUCAAUGGGGGCUUGUAUACUUCAACAAAGAUUAUGACAGGCUCAGAAUAUCAAGAAGAGGGCAAGCUUAUGAUUUUUAUAAUUUCCCCAUGGCUUUGAACAGCCCAAGAUAGACAGCAAAAUCCUUGCUAUUUUUUUCCAGAGGCUGGGUACAUGUUUAUCGCAGCAUGCAGAGAGUUUGGCACGACAGUCUUGACAGGUAAAUAAUUUCCUGUCUGUGCCAAUAUGAAAACUCUAAUUACUGCAGCAAUAGCUCAAAAAAGUCCCAACAGGUUUUCUUUUUGAGUAAAUAAAUAAAAAUAAGAGUUGUCAUUCCACACUCCAGUAUCUUGGAUAAAGAAAGUGAGAAAAGGAGAGAUUAAUCUAACUAGUUUUAUAGUUUCAUGGACAGACUAGAAAUUGAAUCCAGAAAAAGAGAGGAAGGGAAGCGAAAUUAAUUACAUGCUGUUCAUUCUUUUCUUUUCACACCAAUGUGGGUCAAGUGAAAUUAUGUUAUGAAGUGAUAUGAUAGACUCAUUUUUCCACACAAGUUCAUUUUUGGAAGAUAAAUUCCUUUGUACCAAAUACAGGCAGGAGCAGAGUGAGGCAACUAUUUCAGAUAGAAUAUGGGAGUUUCAGCAACUGUAUUUCCAUAAUCAUUCUUCUUGAUUCCUUUUGCAUUUUUUUUGGUUGGGGGACAAAGCCACAUACAUCAAAUUACUGUUCUCCAAAUCUUUGGGUAGCCUUCAUCUCUGGUGCAAUGAGGGAUGAUAUUCCAUUUCAACUUUCAGAGUAUGUAAAUUCAGAUUCCAGUUCAGUCAAUAUCAAUUUUUUGAGUUCUGAAAAAUGCCAAAAAGGGUGGAACAUUUUUGUCUCAUUGUUUCAGUCAGUACAUUUGGUAUAUUUAUUUCCCACAAUGAUGGGAAGCUUUGUAGCCUUCCCAGAAAACUGAAUUGCUUUCCUCAAAGAAGACAGCUUCUCCUUUGAACUAAGCGUACUUCCCUGGAAACUGCACUGGGAAAUAGAAUUGUUCGACAUUCAAAUUGUGGUGUUUAUGCAAAAAAACUAAAUCUUGUUGGUUUUUUAAAAUAUAAAGUAAAGGUUUUUCCCUGA
Long non-coding RNA from Anolis carolinensis (green anole), 5489 nucleotides. RefSeq lists it as uncharacterized. Lineage: Eukaryota; Metazoa; Chordata; Lepidosauria; Squamata; Anolidae. The record is from RefSeq and is a predicted model, not a curated record. The transcript is spliced from 5 exons.